UCNGAACAUGUCCUGUAGUGGGGGAUAGCCCGGCGAAAGCCGGAUUAAUACCGCAUACGAUCUGAGGAUGAAAGCGGGGGACCUUCGGGCCUCGCGCUAUAGGGUUGGCCGAUGGCUGAUUAGCUAGUUGGUGGGGUAAAGGCCUACCAAGGCGACGAUCAGUAGCUGGUCUGAGAGGACGACCAGCCACACUGGGACUGAGACACGGCCCAGACUCCUACGGGAGGCAGCAGUGGGGAAUUUUGGACAAUGGGCGAAAGCCUGAUCCAGCAAUGCCGCGUGUGUGAAGAAGGCCUUCGGGUUGUAAAGCACUUUUGUCCGGAAAGAAAUCCUUGGUUCUAAUAUAGCCGGGGGAUGACGGUACCGGAAGAAUAAGCACCGGCUAACUACGUGCCAGCAGCCGCGGUAAUACGUAGGGUGCAAGCGUUAAUCGGAAUUACUGGGCGUAAAGCGUGCGCAGGCGGUUUGCUAAGACCGAUGUGAAAUCCCCGGGCUCAACCUGGGAACUGCAUUGGUGACUGGCAGGCUAGAGUAUGGCANANGGGGGUAGAAUUCCNCGUGUAGCAGUGAAAUGNGUA
This 578-nucleotide ribosomal RNA is filed under the name uncultured Burkholderia sp. RNAcentral's name for it is "bacterial SSU rRNA". It matches the Rfam family "Bacterial small subunit ribosomal RNA", at positions 118 to 692 of the family's 1533-position model. The record is from RNAcentral. Lineage: Bacteria; Pseudomonadati; Pseudomonadota; Betaproteobacteria; Burkholderiales; Burkholderiaceae.